This 440-nucleotide ribosomal RNA is filed under the name uncultured bacterium. RNAcentral's name for it is "partial 16S ribosomal RNA". It matches the Rfam family "Bacterial small subunit ribosomal RNA", at positions 338 to 795 of the family's 1533-position model. The record is from RNAcentral.
CCUACGGGAGGCAGCAGUGAGGAAUAUUGGUCAAUGGACGAGAGUCUGAACCAGCCAAGUAGCGUGAGUGAAGAAGUAUUUCGGUACGUAAAGCUCUAUCAGCAGGAAAGAAAAUGACGGUACCUGACUAAGAAGCCCCGGCUAACUACGUGCCAGCAGCCGCGGUAAUACGUAGGGGGCAAGCGUUAUCCGGAUUUACUGGGUGUAAAGGGAGCGUAGACGGCAGCGCAAGUCUGGAGUGAAAUGCCGGGGCCCAACCCCGGAACUGCUCUGGAAACUGUGAAGCUGGAGUGCAGGAGAGGUAAGCGGAAUUCCUGGUGUAGCGGUGAAAUGCGUAGAUAUCAGGAGGAACACCGGCGGCGAAGGCGGCUUACUGGACUGUAACUGACGUUGAGGCUCGAAGGCGUGGGGAGCAAACAGGAUUAGAUACCCUUGUAGUC